CAGUAGCCGCGGUAAUACGUAGGGCGCAAGCGUUAUCCGGAAUUAUUGGGCGUAAAGAGCUCGUAGGCGGUUUGUCGCGUCUGCCGUGAAAGUCCGGGGCUCAACCCCGGAUCUGCGGUGAGUACGGGCAGACUAGAGUGAUGUAGGGGAGACUGGAAUUCCUGGUGUAGCGGUGAAAUGCGCAGAUAUCAGGAGGAACACCGAUGGCGAAGGCAGGUCUCUGGGCAUUAACUGACGCUGAGGAGCGAAAGCAUGGGGAGCGAACAGGAUUAGAUACCCCAGUAGUCCCUGUCUCUUAUAA
RNAcentral lists this ribosomal RNA (301 nucleotides) under uncultured bacterium. RNAcentral's name for it is "partial 16S ribosomal RNA". It matches the Rfam family "Bacterial small subunit ribosomal RNA", at positions 509 to 809 of the family's 1533-position model. The record is from RNAcentral.